UACGUAGGGGGCAAGCGUUGUCCGGAUUUAUUGGGCGUAAAAGGCUUGUAGGUGGCCACGCCAAGUCGGAUGUGAAAUCUCCCGGCUCAACUGGGAGGGGUCAUUCGAUACUGGCGGGCUCGAGGCCGGUAGGGGGAAGUGGAAUUCCCGGUGUAGUGGUGAAAUGCGUAGAUAUCGGGAGGAACACCAGUGGCGAAGGCGACUACCUGGCCUGUUUCUUGACGCUGAGGCGCGAAAGCUAGGGGAGCAAACGGG
Molecule: ribosomal RNA, 255 nt
Filed under: uncultured bacterium
Lineage: Bacteria
Description: partial 16S ribosomal RNA
Rfam family: Bacterial small subunit ribosomal RNA
Source: RNAcentral